Molecule: ribosomal RNA, 472 nt
Filed under: uncultured bacterium
Lineage: Bacteria
Description: SSU rRNA
Rfam family: Bacterial small subunit ribosomal RNA
Source: RNAcentral
AGGAUCAACGCUGGCGGCGUGCAUGAGACAUGCAAGUCGAACGGACGAACGAAGCUUGCUUUGUUCGUUAGUGGCGGACGGCUGAGUAACGCGUGGGUGACCUGCCCCGAAGUGGGGAAUAACUGCCCGAAAGGGUGGCUAAUACCGCAUGUGGUGGUGCGUUCAAUCGCACCAGUAAAGCCGCAAGGCGCUUCGGGAGGGGCCUGCGUCCGAUUAGCUCGUUGGUGGGGUAACGGCUCACCAAGGCGACGAUCGGUAGGUGGUCUGAGAGGACGAUCACCCAGACUGGGACUGAGACACGGCCCAGACUCCUACGGGAGGCAGCAGUCGGGAAUUUUGCGCAAUGGACGAAAGUCUGACGCAGCAACGCCGCGUGAGGGAUGAAGGCCUUCGGGUUGUAAAGCUCUUUCGCGCGCGACGAUAAUGACGGUAGCGUGAGAAGAAGCCCGGCUAACUUCGUGCCAGCAGCCGC